GGGGGGGGGGGGGGGGGGGGGGGGGGGGGGGGGGGGGGGCGGGGGGGGGGGGGGCUUGCUCCUGUGGCGUGGGCGGCGGGCGGGUGGGGGACCGGUGGCUAACCUGCCUAUCGGACCGGGAUAGCUUCCGGGCACCCGAGCUCCGACCGGCUCCUCUAUGGACCCUCAUGGUGCAAUCGUGCCAGACUGGUUUGCUGGCACUUAUCCCUCGCUCCGCCACGCAGUAGCUGGUUGGUAAUGUAACGUCUUAGCAAGGCAACGAUGCGUAGCCGACCGGAGAGGGGGAGCGGCCACACUGGAACUGAGAAACGGUCCAGACUCCGACGGGAGGCAGCAGUAGGGAAUCUUCCGCAAUGGGCGAAAGCCUGACGGAGCAACGCCGCGUGAGUGAUGAAGGUCUUCGGAUCGUAAAACUCUGUGAUUAGGGAAGAACAAAUGUGUAAGUAACUAGGCACGUCUGGACGGUACCUAAGCAGAAAGCCACGGCUAACUACGUG
RNAcentral lists this ribosomal RNA (497 nucleotides) under uncultured bacterium. RNAcentral describes it as "partial 16S ribosomal RNA". It matches the Rfam family "Bacterial small subunit ribosomal RNA", at positions 38 to 507 of the family's 1533-position model. The record is from RNAcentral.